RNA transcript from Anguilla rostrata (American eel), 1815 nucleotides. It is a transcript of the gene named acidic fibroblast growth factor intracellular-binding protein B-like, with no coding region annotated. Lineage: Eukaryota; Metazoa; Chordata; Actinopteri; Anguilliformes; Anguillidae. The record is from RefSeq and is a predicted model, not a curated record. The transcript has 10 exons.
UCCCCCAAACGCAGAACGGGGAUUUAGGGCUGGAAAUAAGCAGAGCAAUGUAGCGAUAGGACAAUGUUCCGUUUGAAAUUAAGUGGACCGAUUUAAGUACACAAUUCGAUAGGCCGUCAUUCACACGGGGCCAGUCGGCUGGCACAACAGCUUAGUUUUUUUUAAUUUAACUGCGCAAUAACUGUAUUCUACUGAUGCUUUUCAUUAAUAUUGACCAAGUUAUAGUUCGCUAGCUAGCAAGCGGCAUAGCUAGAUAUUAUGGUGUGCCCCUGAUUGAUUGCAGGUGAACUCGCGAGAGGAGUAUCAGUUGAUUUAUAAAGAUGUCGAUGGAACUGGACGUGUUCGUGGGGAAUACGACUCUACUGGACGACGAGGUCUACGAACUAUGGCUGGACGGCUACCCAGUGAGUGAUGCAGUGCAGGCGAGGGCAGAGGCCGGGGUGCUGCGGCAGUGGGACCCCAGUCCGGAGGUGUUGCUUAGCGACACCACGGACCAGUACAGGACCUUUCAGAUGUGCGAGCGGCUCCUCCACUGCCCCACGAAGCUGGCCAAUCAGCUGCUGUUCCAGAUCCCCGCCCACCGCCAGGCCGCGCUCAUCGAGAGGUAUUAUGCAUUUGAUAGCGCAUUGGCACGGGACUUACUGGGGAAGAAACUGUCCAAAGGAACCAAGAAGGACCUGGAUGACAUCAGCGCCAGGACGGGGGUGACUCUGAAGAGCUGCAGGAGGCAGUUUGAGAACUUCAGGCGGGUGUUUAAAGUGGUGGAGGAGCUGAAGGGCCCCCUGGUGGAGAACAUACAGCAUCAUUUUCUACUGCCAGACCGGCUGGCCAGGGACUACGCAGCGGUGGUGUUUUUUGCGAGUAAUCGCUUUGAGACAGGGAAGAGGAAGCUGCAGUACCUCUCCUUCCAGGACCUGGCCUUCUGCGCCCAGCAGCUGAUCAGCGACUGGACCGUGGGGGCCGGGGGCAGUAUGUCGGAGGACAUGGAUGUGGACCUGGAGAAGGAAUUUCUCCAUGAUCUGAAAGACCUGAAGAUUUUAAUCUCUGACAAAGACCUGCUGGGCCAACACAAGAGCCUGGUGUGCGCUGCUCUCAGGGGAAAGAUCAAAGUAUUUAAUGAAAUGGAGGCAAACUUCAAGAGCCUGUCUCGGGCUCUGGUCAGCAUCGCUGCCAAGCUGACGCACACGCGGGACGUCAGAGGUCUGUUCAUCCACCUCGUGGAGAAGGCAGGUUUCCCUGAUCAUGCCCAGAGCGGAGUGUCCGCAAUUCCAGCCGGAGCGGAGCGCUGCAAGCUUCCUUUCGCUGCUCGUGUUAGCGGAUUACUGCCUCUAUGCUAGCCGCGGUCCCGCGCAGAGACAUAGCGGGUUACUGCCUCUAUGCUAGCCGCGGCCCCAUAGCGGAUUACUGCCUCUAUGCUAGCCGCGGCCCCAUAGCGGAUUACUGCCUCUAUGCUAGCCGCGGUCCCGCGCAGAGACAUAGCGGAUUACUGCCUCUAUGCUAGCCGCGGUCCCGCGCAGAGACGUAGCGGAUUACUGCCUCUAUGCUAGCCGCGGUCCCCCGCGGCCCCAUAGCGGAUUACUGCCUCUACGCUAGCCGCAGUCCCGUAGCGGAGACGUAGCCUAGUUACAGCGUCAACCGAAUUCCUCUGCACCUGGUGCAUUCACUGCUCAUAGUCAGAUUUGCAUCAUAACACCAUAGAACCAUAGUCCUGGACUGUAUGGUUUCCUAGACUGUAAGAACGGUUUCAGAAAGAACAUGUUACUUCACCUUAGAAAAAACAUUGAACUACAGGAAGUAAACUACUCUUAAGAAAAA